GACGAACGCUGGCGGCGUGCUUAACACAUGCGAGUCGAACGGAAAGGCCCUGCUUUUGUGGGGUGCUCGAGUGGCGAACGGGUGAGUAACACGUGAGUAACCUGCCCUUGACUUUGGGAUAACUUCAGGAAACUGGGGCUAAUACCGGAUAGGAGCUCCUGCUGCAUGGUGGGGGUUGGAAAGUUUCGGCGGUUGGGGAUGGACUCGCGGCUUAUCAGCUUGUUGGUGGGGUAGUGGCUUACCAAGGCUUUGACGGGUAGCCGGCCUGAGAGGGUGACCGGCCACAUUGGGACUGAGAUACGGCCCAGACUCCUACGGGAGGCAGCAGUGGGGAAUAUUGCACAAUGGGCGGAAGCCUGAUGCAGCAACGCCGCGUGUGGGAUGACGGCCUUCGGGUUGUAAACCGCUUUCGCCUGUGACGAAGCGUGAGUGACGGUAAUGGGUAAAGAAGCACCGGCUAACUACGUG
RNAcentral lists this ribosomal RNA (468 nucleotides) under uncultured bacterium. RNAcentral's name for it is "partial 16S ribosomal RNA". It matches the Rfam family "Bacterial small subunit ribosomal RNA", at positions 28 to 507 of the family's 1533-position model. The record is from RNAcentral.